GUCCAACUGAUGUGCUCUAGCGGGAUGGGA
RNAcentral lists this non-coding RNA (30 nucleotides) under Homo sapiens (human). Lineage: Eukaryota; Metazoa; Chordata; Mammalia; Primates; Hominidae. The record is from RNAcentral.